AGCGUGUGACUGGCGGAUUGUGGAGCGUACCACAGGGGAGCACGCAGAGAAGCUGUAGAUUAAAAGCCGGCCGCCUGGGCACAC
Molecule: non-coding RNA, 84 nt
Filed under: uncultured Enterocloster sp.
Lineage: Bacteria; Bacillati; Bacillota; Clostridia; Lachnospirales; Lachnospiraceae
Description: ZMP/ZTP riboswitch
Rfam family: ZMP/ZTP riboswitch aptamer (pfl RNA motif)
About the family: Previously known as pfl RNA. ZMP is also known as AICAR.
Source: RNAcentral